RNAcentral lists this signal recognition particle RNA (300 nucleotides) under Otolemur garnettii (small-eared galago). Its description in RNAcentral is "Metazoan signal recognition particle RNA". It matches the Rfam family "Metazoan signal recognition particle RNA". From Rfam's summary of the family: The signal recognition particle (SRP) is a universally conserved ribonucleoprotein. It is involved in the co-translational targeting of proteins to membranes. The record is from Rfam by way of RNAcentral. Lineage: Eukaryota; Metazoa; Chordata; Mammalia; Primates; Galagidae.
GCCAGGCGUUGUGGCGGGUGCCUGUGGUCCCAGCUACUUGGGAGGCGGAGACAGGAGACUCGCUUGAGCCCCGGAGUUGGAGGUUGCUGUGAGCAGUGAAGCCACAGCACUCUACCCAGGGGAACAGCUUGAGGCUCUGUCUCAAAAACAAAAAAAAGCUAUCAAAGUUAAUUUCUUUCUUUUUUUUUUUUUUUUUUUUUUUGAGACAGGGCCUCAAGCUGUCCCCCUGGGUAGAGUACUGUGACAUCACAGCUCACAGCAACCUCCAACUCCUGGGCUCAAGCGAGUCUCCUGCCUCCG